UGGGGGAAACUAAACCAAUAAAAAGAAUGUGAAAAGAGGGAGAGAAUAAAGACAAAAGGGUAAAAAAAUAUCAUAUUAUUAGAAAAGAUGCAUACUAAAAAGUUAUUUAAACGACGGUGUGACCCCAAUAUGUAAUACCUUUUCGGAUGGGUUUAGAUGAUUGGAAUACAAUUGAGAUAAUAGGUUUGGACUAAUCAAAUCUCAACGACAAAAUAAAACAGCACGAACCUCAUCGACUACCACAAGAUUAACAAAUAAAAAUGUAUAAUAUACUUUGUUGACAACAAAUACAAAAAAAAUGUAUUAAUAAGAAAAUUGGAAUAAAAGUGUAGGUAAAGAUUAGUAAAGAAAUUAAAGUGGUGGUUCUCAUGUCAUUAGCACUUGGGCACCAUCCAUCAUGCGAUCCUUCACAGACUUAUCCACAGAUGUGAAAGAAAGAAACAAAGACCAAUUACGAAACUCGAAAACAGUACAAUUGUUUGUUAGGUUCGACACGUGUCAGUCCGACAUGUGGGUCCCUUCAAUGAUUUGUUGUAUAAUGAAGAAUCUACUUCCGAUUCAGCCCCCGCAUUACGGCCGUAAAUUUUUUUUUGUUUAUUUAGUUUAGGGAAAAAGUGAAGAAGCAUACGUGAUA
This 634-nucleotide long non-coding RNA is filed under the name Brassica napus (rape). RNAcentral describes it as "long non-coding RNA (BNAP_LNC001529)". Lineage: Eukaryota; Viridiplantae; Streptophyta; Magnoliopsida; Brassicales; Brassicaceae. The record is from RNAcentral.